GCCUCCCAAAGUGCUGGGAUUACAGGCGUGAGCCACCACACCCUGCCCAGGAAUACAUGAGACUUUGAAGUUCUGAUUGCUAACCCAAGCAAUGUUGGCUGUAAUUAUCAGGCCCCGCUGUGUUCAGAAACUUAAAGUUUAGGUGGGAAAGUAAAACUCAGUAAUCAUAGGUAAACAGAGACCAAGUAAGCGCUGCUCUUCGAGGUCUAGAUAUAGCUGUGGCAAGAGGCACGCUGGGGAGGAAGAAAAGUUCUGGGUAACCUGGAGGGGUCAGGGAGGAGUUUCAGAAAGUAGUCGUGGCCUUGGCUUGGGUGUGGAAGUAAUAGCAAACUCAGCAAGAUACCUUUUAUGUUUUGAUAACGGCUUUAUGGAGAUAUAAUUUGCAUACCAUUCAAUUCACCCCUGUAAAGUGUAUAAAUCGGUUUUUAGUACAUUCAUGGAGUUGUGCAAUCAUUACCAUCAUCAAUUUUAGAACAUUUCCAGCACCUC
RNAcentral lists this long non-coding RNA (489 nucleotides) under Homo sapiens (human). Its description in RNAcentral is "non-protein coding lnc-MYH13-3:1". Lineage: Eukaryota; Metazoa; Chordata; Mammalia; Primates; Hominidae. The record is from RNAcentral.